Molecule: non-coding RNA, 45 nt
Filed under: Schistosoma mansoni
Lineage: Eukaryota; Metazoa; Platyhelminthes; Trematoda; Strigeidida; Schistosomatidae
Source: RNAcentral
CUCUAACUGACGAGUCCCAAAUAGGACGAAACGCGCGUCCUGGAU